Molecule: ribosomal RNA, 247 nt
Filed under: uncultured bacterium
Lineage: Bacteria
Description: partial 16S ribosomal RNA
Rfam family: Bacterial small subunit ribosomal RNA
Source: RNAcentral
AGAUGGCGACCGGCGCACGGGUGAGUAACACGUAUCCAACCUGCCGAUAACUCGGGGAUAGCCUUUCGAAAGAAAGAUUAAUACCCGAUGGUAUAAUCAGACCGCAUGGUCUUGUUAUUAAAGAAUUUCGGUUGUCGAUGGGGAUGCGUUCCAUUAGGCAGUUGGUGAGGUAACGGCUCACCAAACCUUCGAUGGAUAGGGGUUCUGAGAGGAAGGUCCCCCACAUUGGAACUGAGACACGGUCCAA